GCUUACGGCCAUACCAGCCUGAAUACGUCCGAUCUCGUCCGAUCUCGGAAGCUAAGCAGGGUCGGGCCUGGUUAGUACUUGGAUGGGAGACCGCCUGGGAAUACCAGGUGCUGUAAGCA
RNAcentral lists this ribosomal RNA (119 nucleotides) under Oncorhynchus kisutch (coho salmon). Lineage: Eukaryota; Metazoa; Chordata; Actinopteri; Salmoniformes; Salmonidae. The record is from RNAcentral.